GCGAGUUGGUGCGUGGCUUUCGAGCCUCAACAGGCUUGAGGAAACUCCGUCCCACAGGUAGAAUUGCAACGUCCGCAAGGACGUAAGGCGAGAGCCUUGGCUCCGGAGCAGAAACGAAACGUCCAUCCAGCAAGAGCCGAUGAAGCAUGCUAAGUUGCUGAGAAUGCUGGAUGCGAAACGGUGAAACGGCCGUCCAGCAAGUGGAAAGGGCAAACAGACGCUGAUGAAACGCUACCUGAAGCGCGGGUAGCCCGAUUAGCUGAAUGCCACAAAAACAGAAGGCGGGUUACAACCAACACGC
RNAcentral lists this RNase P RNA (301 nucleotides) under Candidatus Bathyarchaeota archaeon. Its description in RNAcentral is "RNase P RNA component". It matches the Rfam family "Archaeal RNase P". From Rfam's summary of the family: Ribonuclease P (RNase P) is a ubiquitous endoribonuclease, found in archaea, bacteria and eukarya as well as chloroplasts and mitochondria. Its best characterised activity is the generation of mature 5'-ends of tRNAs by cleaving the 5'-leader elements of precursor-tRNAs. Cellular RNase Ps are ribonucleoproteins. Lineage: Archaea; Thermoproteati; Candidatus Bathyarchaeota. The record is from RNAcentral.